AGCGAACGCUGGCGGCAGGCCUAACACAUGCAAGUCGAACGAACUCUUCGGAGUUAGUGGCGGACGGGUGAGUAACACGUGGGAACGUGCCUUUUGGUUCGGAAUAACUCAGGGAAACUUGUGCUAAUACCGAAUGUGCCCUUCGGGGGAAAGAUUUAUCGCCAUUAGAGCGGCCCGCGUCUGAUUAGCUAGUUGGUGAGGUAACGGCUCACCAAGGCGACGAUCAGUAGCUGGUCUGAGAGGUUGACCAGCCACACUGGGACUGAGACACGGCCCAGACUCCUACGGGAGGCAGCAGUGGGGAAUCUUGCGCAAUGGGCGAAAGCCUGACGCAGCCAUGCCGCGUGAAUGAUGAAGGUCUUAGGAUUGUAAAAUUCUUUCACCGGGGACGAUAAUGACGGUACCCGGAGAAGAAGCCCCGGCUAACUUCGUG
Molecule: ribosomal RNA, 433 nt
Filed under: uncultured bacterium
Lineage: Bacteria
Description: partial 16S ribosomal RNA
Rfam family: Bacterial small subunit ribosomal RNA
Source: RNAcentral